GACGAACGCUGGCGGCGUGCCUAAUGCAUGCAAGUCGCACGCACCCGCUUCGGCGGGUGAGUGGCGCACGGCUGAAUAACACGUGGGAACCCCCCCCCCGGUGGGGGAUAACGCGACGAAAGUUGCGCUAAUCCCGCAUACGUCCGCAAGGAAAAAGCGCACCCGCGCGCGGGGGGGAGGGGCCUGCGGCCCAUCAGGUCGUUGGUGGGGUAAUGGCCUACCAAGCCGAUGACGGGUAGCUGGUCUGGGAGGAUGACCAGCCAGACUGGGACUGAGACACGGCCCACACUCCUACGGGAGGCAGCAGCAAGGAUUUUUCGGCAAUGGGCGCAAGCCUGACCGAGCAACGCCGCGUGCGGGAUGACGGCCUUCGGGUUGUAAACCGCUUUUCGGGGGGACGACCCUGACGGUACCCCCGGAAUCAGCCCCGGCUAACUCUGUGCCAGCAGCCGCGAUAAGACAGAGGGGGCGAGCGUUGUCCGGAGUCACUGGGCGUAAAGCGCGCGCAGGCGGCAACCUAAGUGUCGUGUGAAAGCCCCCGGCUCAACCGGGGGGAGGCCAUGGCAAACUGGGUCGCUCGAGCUGCG
RNAcentral lists this ribosomal RNA (587 nucleotides) under uncultured bacterium. RNAcentral's name for it is "partial 16S ribosomal RNA". It matches the Rfam family "Bacterial small subunit ribosomal RNA", at positions 28 to 651 of the family's 1533-position model. The record is from RNAcentral.